UACGUAGGGACCAAGCGUUGUUCGGAUUUACUGGGCGUAAAGGGCGCGUAGGCGGCUCGUUUAGUCGGGUGUGAAAUCCCGGGGCUCAACCCCGGAACUGCAUUCGAUACUGGCGGGCUAGAGACCGGAAGAGGUGGGUGGAAUACCCAGUGUAGAGGUGAAAUUCGUAGAUAUUGGGUGGAACACCGGUGGCGAAGGCGGCUCACUGGUCCGGUUCUGACGCUGAGGCGCGAAAGCGUGGGGAGCAAACAGG
This 253-nucleotide ribosomal RNA is filed under the name uncultured bacterium. RNAcentral describes it as "partial 16S ribosomal RNA". It matches the Rfam family "Bacterial small subunit ribosomal RNA", at positions 524 to 776 of the family's 1533-position model. The record is from RNAcentral.